GUUGAACGCUGGCGGCAGGCUUAACACAUGCAAGUCGAGCGGGGGAAGGUAGCUUGCUACCGGACCUAGCGGCGGACGGGUGAGUAAUGCUUAGGAAUCUGCCUGUUAGUGGGGGACAACAUCUCGAAAGGGAUGCUAAUACCGCAUACGUCCUACGGGAGAAAGCAGGGGAUCUUCGGACCUUGCGCUAAUAGAUGAGCCUAAGUCGGACUAGCUAGUUGGUGGGGUAAAGGCCUACCAAGGCGACGAUCUGUAGCGGGUCUGAGAGGAUGGUCCGCCACACUGGGACUGAGACACGGCCCAGACUCCUACGGGAGGCAGCAGUGGGGAAUAUUGGACAAUGGGGGGAACCCUGAUCCAGCCAUGCCGCGUGUGUGAAGAAGGCCUUAUGGUUGUAAAGCACUUUAAGCGAGGAGGAGGCUACUCUAGUUAAUACCUAGGGAUAGUGGACGUUACUCGCAGAAUAAGCACCGGCUAACUCUGUGCCAGCCGCCGCCGUAA
RNAcentral lists this ribosomal RNA (501 nucleotides) under uncultured bacterium. RNAcentral's name for it is "partial 16S ribosomal RNA". It matches the Rfam family "Bacterial small subunit ribosomal RNA", at positions 28 to 523 of the family's 1533-position model. The record is from RNAcentral.